Molecule: long non-coding RNA, 1579 nt
Organism: Erinaceus europaeus (western European hedgehog)
Lineage: Eukaryota; Metazoa; Chordata; Mammalia; Eulipotyphla; Erinaceidae
Exons: 2
Source: RefSeq, a predicted model, not a curated record
GGGGACGGUUGGCCGGGCGGGGCUGCCUCCCUCGGCUGAGCCCACAGCAGCCCCGCAUCUUGAUGCGGGUGUCGGGCAUGUGUGCCCCCUUAUGUGCUCAUGCAGAUUCCUGGGCCUGAGGAAGGCUUCAGCCCAGGGGAACCCCCAAACCACACUUUGAGAGGUUCUUCUAGGGGCUGGGGUGAACAUGGGAUGAGAGUAGUACAGGGGGGGGACCUGCCACUCACCAGGACCCUUGCCAGCUGCUCCGCCCCCUGAGCAUCUGCCCAGUACUGCCAAGUCUCUGCCAAGAGACUGGCCUUGCGGGAAGCCUGCAGCACAUGGAGUUGGGCCUUGUGGCGCCAGCGCCGCAGACACAGCCACCUGGGGGGAGGCUGGUGUGCUUCCCCAUGGCCUGGAGGGGUCCCAGCCCUGCUCCUGUCAUCACGGGGCACUGACUGGAAGGGGCCCAGCUCUGGCCCUGGCUGGGGUAGCCCCGGGCCCCAGCCUCACCCAGCUGCACCCCCUUGGCAUUGGCGUCACCUUGCGCACUGGCCUCAGAGCCCGCACCUAUCCUGGGUUGGUGAUUGGCAGGGCCCUACCACCCUGUGCAGGCUGCUGCGGCCAGAGUGGGAGGGCAUGGCUGAAGGGAGGCCCUUGGUCACCUGGAAAGGGGUGUCAAGUCGGAAGAGAUGGGGGACUCCUGGAGGGGAGGCUUCUGGAGUUCUCUCCGGGAGGCCCUGGGGCAGGGCAGCCAGUAGCACCCCCUUAAGCUCUGCAUAGCCCCCACCCGCAGCCUCCAGCUGCCUUGGACUGCUGCCCAAAGUGAAGGGAAAAACUUUUUCUCCGAAUGGCUGAAAUAUUUCAGAAGAGGAAGUGGGCGUGGGGAAAACAAGAAAGAAAGAAAAGAAAGCUUUUUCCACGAGAGCUGGACACUGAUUCUCAGGCCCUGCUGGGUGGCGGCCGCCCCCUUCCUCCACUUCAGGACAUUUCUGACCCCGCAGGGGGAGCCUCCUUACUCUGAACCUGGGAUGUUUCCCUGAACUCUUUGUCUGCCCAGACUAUAUCACUGGGCUGGGCUGGGCCAGGCAGCCUGGACGCUGGGGCCUGUGGCCUGCAGUUGUGCUUCUGAGAGAACAGCCAAAGGGGAGACCCCGUGGACAACUGGGGGACUCCUGAGGGAGGGUUAUGUCCCUUGCAACCAGAGGAGCAAGAGGCGGCAUGACGGGGGUCCCCCAUGUGGCAGGAGACCAGCCAUUCUCCUUGCCCAAACCACAGCCGAGCCUCUUGCCUGAGGCUCUGUCUGCCUGGAGCGAGGUCUGAGCCCAACCCAGGGCAGCUCUGCCCGUGGGCUCUCAGAGCCUAGCAGGGGGCAGCCAGUGCCUGUGUGUCCUUAGGUGGGGCCCCCUGGGUACCUGCUUGAUAAAGAGGUCCUGGAAGGGAGCAGCCUGGUGACCAUAAGGUCCCCUAAGCCUCAGCUGCCCCCUCCCCCAAUGCCCCCUGCCUUUACUCAUGGGAUGGGAUGAAAGUCUUAAGCAUAGCUGGCAAAUAAAAUGGACUUAAAAUUCAUUUCUAGAAAUAAAAACACCCUGAGGCCCCA